GUGCUUGCUUUGGCAGCACAUAUAAUGAAAUUGGAACGACACAGAGAUUAGCAUGGCCCUGUGCAAGGAUGACAUGCAAAUUUGGGAGGCGUUCCAUAUUUUU
Small nuclear RNA from Zalophus californianus (California sea lion), 103 nucleotides. Lineage: Eukaryota; Metazoa; Chordata; Mammalia; Carnivora; Otariidae. The record is from Ensembl.